This 219-nucleotide long non-coding RNA is filed under the name Mytilus galloprovincialis (Mediterranean mussel). Lineage: Eukaryota; Metazoa; Mollusca; Bivalvia; Mytilida; Mytilidae. The record is from RNAcentral.
AACCAAUGUAGAAAAGUAAACGCAUAACAAUACGCACAUUAAAAUUCAGUUCAAGAGAAGUCCGAGUCUGAUGUCAGAAGAUGUAACCAAAGAAAAUAAACAAAAUGACAAUAAUACAUAAAUAACAACAGACUACUAGCAGUUAACUGACAUGCCAGCUUCAGACUUCAAUUAAACUGACUGAAAGAUUAUGAUUUCAUCAUAUGAACAUCAGGCACA